UGUGUAGGCGGUUGUUUAAGUUUGGUGUGAAAUCUCCCGGCUCAACUGGGAGGGUGCGCCGAAUACUGAAUGACUCGAGUGCGGGAGAGGAGAGUGGAAUUCCUGGUGUAGCGGUGAAAUGCGUAGAUAUCAGGAGGAACACCGGUGGUGUAGACGGCUCUCUGGAUCGUAACUGACGCUGAGACACGAAAGCGUGGGUAGCAAACAGGAUUAGAUACCCUGGUAGUCCACGCCCUAAACGAUGCAUAUUUGGUGUGGGCAGUUCAGUCUGUCCGUGCCGGAGCUAACGCGUUAAAUAUGCCGCCUGGGGAGUACAGUCGCAAGGCUAGAA
Molecule: ribosomal RNA, 331 nt
Filed under: uncultured bacterium
Lineage: Bacteria
Description: bacterial SSU rRNA
Rfam family: Bacterial small subunit ribosomal RNA
Source: RNAcentral